CCAGUGCUUCAGGGCCCCUGCUGGUAAGAGGUCACUGUGGAGGAGAGGUAGGUAGGAGCUCCCACAGGAAAGCCAUCCUUUCAGGCAGUACCUCAGUCUGUACCUUUGCCUUUGGCUUUUUUACUUUGCGGAGAAUGUGUGCAGCCUCAGAGGGCUGGAGCCACCUGCCAAUUAGGUUUGAUGGUCUUCAUCUGUCCUUGUGAGUAAUCUCCUAGUACUACGAGGGUCAUCAAUUAAGGCUCGACCUUUCCCAGUUGCAGGUGCCAUCCAGCCUGCCUUUGGCCAAGGAGGAGCAUUGAGGUUGAGCUGGGGAGGUAGGGAGGAGGUGCUGGGGUCUCCCUUACUUUCAGAAACACCCAUAACUUUUUUUCUCACUCCCCCAGGUACGGCACACGGUGAUGGCAGCAGCCUCCGACUGGGGUCGGAGCCAGUGGCCCGAGAACCUCUCAGCUCAGGGGAGGCCGACCGAGUCAGGGAUCACAGGACCCUCUGAGCCAGCCGUGCGUCCUUCCUUCACAUCGAAGAUGGAUUCACAUCCCCAGCUGUGGGAAAGAUAAGUGGAGGACUUCCACCUGGAGAGGGGAUGAGAGCUGGGUCCAGUUUUAUGGUUAGGAGGGAGGGAUUUUCAAUUGAGCAGAGGGGAAAGGAUCUGCCCUAAGAGGCCCUUGGCACACAUAGGAGGAGCAGUUUACUUUUCAUCAUGGAGUAGGAUGUGCAGGGCAGAGCCGUUCAGGUCUGUGUCAUGUCCUUUGUCCGGUCUGUGUUUCGUGUCUUACACUUUACAGUCACUGUGUCUUUGCUUCCUGCCCUCAAAGGUCUUAUCUGAGAUGUCAAAGCAUCAUUCCUAGAGUCUUGAACCUCUGCACUGCCCAGCCCAGUGCCCAUACCAUCCGUUCUUUGGCUCACUAGCUUGGACAUGCAUCGGAAUCACAUCUGAGAAGUGUCAGGUUAGGUGUCUUUUACAGCCUCCUUACAGGUUGUAUCGGUGGCUGUGCCGUGCAGUCAUCCCUUGUCAUCCCACCUAGGACUUGUGAGAAUCUAAGAAGAUUCUGAACAUAGCCUUGUCUCCCAUCCAUCUUAGCAAUUUUGUAGGCAGUUCUUGUCCCAGGCCAUUCUGUUAGAGUGUCUUUUCAGGCUCCUCAGAGCCUCCUCCAUUCAGUCUCGCCGUAUCCUCCGUCUUCUCGUGCGGUAGCACAUCCAUUUUGGCGUCGUUCCUUUCUCAGAGUUCUCUCUCCUGGUUGCACCACAGCACUUGUCUGGAAAUGUGUCCUUGGAGUUUGUGUUGGGCCUGGAACUGCUCUGCCCUGCAGUGUAGACUUGGGGCAUCAGAGAGGCUGGAUGUAAAGCAGAGAUGAACAGAGGAGGCUGGAGGAGCACAGUCAGAAGAUGCAGAGCCCUCAGCCCAGCAGAGGACAGGCACCAGAGGGAAGGUGAGCCCGGUGAGCAAGGCAGUGCACAGACUUCUAACGUGCAGUCCAACGUGACAGGGACCCUGCCUGUAAGAGGAGAUGUAGGCAGCCUCAGAUGGCCGAAGCCAACUCACAGUGAGGUGCCAUCCAGCUAACCUUUGGGAGCCGAUGAGCAUUGGAGGAGAUGACAGCACAUUGUCCAAGUCUAGUCAGAGUCAGUGACACGAGGACCUGCCUCGGUGACAGUGAGUAGAGGCAU
Pseudopipra pipra is the source of this 1668-nucleotide long non-coding RNA. RefSeq lists it as uncharacterized. NCBI's taxonomy places the organism in Eukaryota, Metazoa, Chordata, Aves, Passeriformes, Pipridae. The record is from RefSeq and is a predicted model, not a curated record. The transcript is spliced from 8 exons.